This 1174-nucleotide long non-coding RNA is filed under the name Spirodela polyrhiza (greater duckweed). Its description in RNAcentral is "long non-coding RNA (SPOL_LNC000518)". The record is from RNAcentral. Lineage: Eukaryota; Viridiplantae; Streptophyta; Magnoliopsida; Alismatales; Araceae.
GGAGUUUGCAGCAGAGGGAUGCGAUUCUGAUGAUGGAAAAUGGACAACUCCAUCAACAAUUAUCGAUGUCAUUGGAAGGCUGUCACCGGCGAUGGUAGUCAGCAAGUUGCAGUGUUCAUCACUCUGCUUCCCUGGAGACCCAUCCGAAGGUUUGUCCAACUCAAUUGAAAUUACCUAUUGAGGUAUAGAAUCUGCGUAGCACAGAAUAAUGAUGACAUGGGGUCUAUUGAGAGUUAGCAAACCCUUAUCGUCAUAAACCACGAAAAAGUAGUGAGAGACAGUAAUGGAAGGAACACCUAGGAUUCAAAGUGGUUUACUCCACUGCAAGAGAUAUGUCUACUCACUGUUAUGAACUUGACAUCAAUCAUAAUUGGCUUCCACAUGGCAAGAUCAAUCAUAUAUCUAGGGUUCUCAAGCAUGUGAAGGUCUACGAUUUUUCUUUUGCAUGCUUCAACCACUAUGUGUAAGUUUCAUUGCAUUUGAUUUAUUAUUUAACGAGUUUGAUCUCACUGUUCUAGGACUCAUCAUUCUAAUUAUGCAAGGUUCAUCUUCAUCAAGAAAAAAUCCAAUCUCACAUAGUCUUCUUUACUAAGGCUACUUUUGAAUCAGGUUUCUCACUUAGAGUGCAGCUAUGGAGAGGUAUGGAAAGCCUGUAACGGCAGCCGUGCGCAGAGCUCGAGAGGCAACUGGAAGGGAGAAAGGGGGGAGAACUUCGGUAUGUUCUAUGGGCCAACGUGAUGUUGAAUGUGACUCCAGACUUAUGACUCAAACCCUAGUACUGGGCCAGGCCAGUAAUCAUGGCAUUGCACUUGACAUCCACUUCUUGCUAACGUGUGCACGUUGACUAUAAUAUUAUGUAGAUGAGGGAGAUUCCCAAAUUGGACGGACCGUUGACUCUAAAACCUUGAGAAUAUUUUUGACUGACAAAAUCGCCAUUUUAAAAGUUAUUCAACAGUUAAAAUAUUUUUAAAAGCAUUGAUUGAUGUUCAUAGGAAUAUACCAUAACAAUCGAUCAAAAUUAGUCAAACUUGGCCAAUGAUAAUAUCUAGAGACAUAAUUUGGUAGCAGCCUUGAUUCCCAUAGGAAAAAAGGUUAGUUUGGUUCAAGAGAUGCAAGUAUACAAGAGAACACGCAGAAGGGGCCAUGAUUUAGAGGGGACCCCUAACUUUCUUCA